UAAUAUUUAAAGAUCUUUUAUUUAUCUAUCUCACAUUACAUUGUGAGAGAAAGACAUCAUAUAACAUAGUCAAGAUGAAAAAAAACAUGUAAAACAAUUACUUUAAAUAUGACCACUCAUACAAUGGACAAUGAUUGAAAUGAAAAGUCAUUUGUUUUUCUGAGAAACACAGCUAUUAUUUCCAUCGUAAAUAAAAAAUAAAUAAAAAACAUGAUAAUAGAAAUAAUUGAAUCAUUUUAUGUAAUAAUUAAGCAGUUGUUCCAUUUUUGCUUUAAUUGUGACCUGGAAAAAGAGUUAAUCCAUCUUUCACUUUUUAAAAUUAUUUUAAAGUUGUUUUUUUUACAGUUAGUUUAUUCUGUGUUUAAAAUUGAUGCAUAUGUUAUGUUUAAUUUCCACAUUUUAACAUUAUCAAUUAUAAUACUUUACAACUCCAAAAAUAAAAUUAUUUUUUGGGCUUCUUUUAAAGAAACAAACCCGUUUUCACUUUUUGUAUCCAACAUUAUGAAAUUGUUAAGAGUCAGUACAUUUUAUAAUUUAUUCAUAUAUAUUGAUUUUUAACAAAUAUUUUAAGAAAAUCAAAGUCAUGAAAGCUCGUAUUACAGAUCCUAUAAACCUUUUCUUGAUAUGGAGUUCACAGCACUGAAUGCAAAUGGAUGUAUAGAAUUUAAAGCCACUAUAAAGAGUAAAGCUACAUUUUGCACAUACAAAUCAUAAUACAAAGAACAUCACAAACCGACACAUAUGAUUACAUAAAUUAACAAAAAACCUUAAAAUAUUAAUAACAUAAUAAAGAUAAUAAAACAGAAUAAUCUAACACAACAUUAACCUUAAUAAAUAAAUUUAACAAAAAAAAAAACACCCAACAGUAUAUAGAACUAUCUUAACAUUUGCCCUUGAAUCAAAAUAUUAAAGAAUGACCCAUCACUGAAUCCCACAACGGAUUAUGAGGGUCUGGAUGAAAUUUAAUAAAUAGAGAAAACUGGCAAAAAAAGAGAAAAAAAGAGAGAGAAUUGAGCAAAAAAACUAAAGAAUAGAAAAAAGGGGUAUUUGAAUAUAAAGAAUAAAUUAUAAUUGACAAAAAAACAAAGAAUAGAGAAAAUUUGCCUAUAUAAUAGUCUAUUUGCCAAUUCCCGUAAUUGACCCUGUAUUUAAAGAUUCCUUUUUAGUUGUCUCCCUUAUGGUCCGAGACCACAAUUAUUUUGUAGUGCAUUUCUUUUUAGACAAUAAAAGCAAAUUAAAAAAAUCCCACCUACUUUUGGGACAAAUUGUAUCAAAAUUAUAGAAAACUUCAUUGGCUCUCACUCAAAUAUGGACAAUUUUAUGUUAAGGGGUCUUUGAAAUCUUUUGACAGCUUCUGAAGUGCUAAUUUUUAACCUUUUUCAACUGGACCAAAUCACUACUUUACUUUAAAAUUCAUGACCAAAAUUAUUUGACAGUGUCAUUUCAUCCCUUGAUUUACUAUUUGAGGCAUAAAACAUGGAGAAAUGCAUUUGGAAGGGGUAUACAAAAAAUUGGCAUACCCAUUGAAAAUUCUAUCUUAAAACUUAAUCAAAAGUAAGGCAAAGUAUAUAAAACAUCAUAGAGAUUUACAGAAAGAAAAAAAAACAUCUAAGUAAAAACAGUAAAUAAAUAUAGAACUCUACAAAAACAACAUGGAUAU
This 1660-nucleotide long non-coding RNA is filed under the name Mytilus galloprovincialis (Mediterranean mussel). The record is from RNAcentral. Lineage: Eukaryota; Metazoa; Mollusca; Bivalvia; Mytilida; Mytilidae.